RNAcentral lists this ribosomal RNA (271 nucleotides) under uncultured bacterium. RNAcentral's name for it is "partial 16S ribosomal RNA". It matches the Rfam family "Bacterial small subunit ribosomal RNA", at positions 524 to 794 of the family's 1533-position model. The record is from RNAcentral.
UACGUAGGGUACAAGCAUUAAUCGGAAUUAUUGGGCGUAAAGGGCGCGUAGGCGGGGAUAUAAGUCAGGUGUGAAAUACCAAAGCUCAACUUUGGUGCUGCAUUUGAAACUGUAUUUCUUGAGGACUGACGGAGAAAGCGGAAUUCCACGUGUAGCGGUGAAAUGCGUAGAUACGUGGAGGAACACCGGUGGCGAAAGCGGCUUUCUAGUUUUUACCUGACGCUGAGGCGCGAGAGCAAGGGGAGCAAACAGGAUUAGAAACCCCGGUAGU